CCCUUAGAUGCUCUGGGCCGCACGCGCGCUACACUGGUCGAUGCAACGAGUUUCUUUCCUUGGCCGACAGGCCUGGGCAAUCUUUGAACAUCGAUCGUGAUCGGGAUAGAUUCUUGUAAUUUUUGAUCUUAAACGAGGAAUUCCUAGUAAACGCAAGUCAUCAGCUUGCAUUGAUUACGUCCCUGCCCUUUGUACACACCGCCCGUCGCACCUACCGAUUGAAUGGUCCGGUGAAAUCUCCGGACUGGCGUGAGUCGGAGCAAUCUGACAAACACCGGAAAGUUGAUUAAACCUCACCAUUUAGAGGAAGGUGAAGUCGUAACA
RNAcentral lists this ribosomal RNA (324 nucleotides) under uncultured eukaryote. RNAcentral's name for it is "partial 18S ribosomal RNA". It matches the Rfam family "Eukaryotic small subunit ribosomal RNA", at positions 1470 to 1796 of the family's 1831-position model. The record is from RNAcentral.